UACGGAGGGUGCGAGCGUUGUCCGGAAUCACUGGGCGUAAAGGGCGCGUAGGCGGCUUAUCAAGUCAGGCGUGAAAUUCCCGGGCUCAACCUGGGGGCUGCGCUUGAUACUGAUGAGCUUGAAUGCGGGAGAGGAUAGUGGAAUUCCCAGUGUAGAGGUGAAAUUCGUAGAUAUUGGGAAGAACACCGGUGGCGAAGGCGGCUAUCUGGCCCGUAAUUGACGCUGAGGCGCGAAAGCGUGGGGAGCAAACAGG
This 253-nucleotide ribosomal RNA is filed under the name uncultured bacterium. Its description in RNAcentral is "partial 16S ribosomal RNA". It matches the Rfam family "Bacterial small subunit ribosomal RNA", at positions 524 to 776 of the family's 1533-position model. The record is from RNAcentral.